RNAcentral lists this ribosomal RNA (443 nucleotides) under uncultured bacterium. RNAcentral describes it as "partial 16S ribosomal RNA". It matches the Rfam family "Bacterial small subunit ribosomal RNA", at positions 338 to 795 of the family's 1533-position model. The record is from RNAcentral.
CCUACGGGCGGCAGCAGUGGGGAAUAUUGGGCAAUGGGCGCAAGCCUGACCCAGCAACGCCGCGUGAAGGAAGAAGGCUUUCGGGUUGUAAACUUCUUUUCUGAGGGACGAAGAAAGUGACGGUACCUCAGGAAUAAGCCACGGAGAACUACGUGCCAGCAGCCUCGGUAAUACGUAGGUGGCAAGCGUUAUCCGGAUUUCUUGGGUGUAAAGGGCGUGUAGGCGGGAAAGCAAGUCCGAUGUGAAAACUCAGGGCUCAACCCUGAGCCUGCAUUUGAAAAUGUUUUGCUUGAGUGCUGGAGAGGCAAUCGGAAUUCCGGGUGUAGCGGUGAAAUGCGUAGAUAUACGGAGGAACACCAGUGGCGAAGGCGGAUUGCUGGACAGUAACUGACGCUGAGGCGCGAAAGCGUGGGGAGCAAACAGGAUUAGAUACCCCUGUAGUC